CGAGGAGUUUUAUUGUCCAUUUGCUCUUUCUUAAAGUUUGGUUGAGAAAUGAAAGUUUGGUAUUUAUUGAAUGAAACAGUUUGAUAUUGAAAGCGGAAGAAAAAUCUAGCCAUUUGGAAUCUUGUCUACUGACCAGUUAUUAUGAAAGCCCUCUUUAUUUUUGUGACUUUGGUGAGCGUAGUGAUUCUAGCGCUCGGACAACUGACGCCACCUCGACCUGGAGAAUUUAAUAUGAUGCGACAAGGAAUGGGAGGAGCUACAGCUCAGGGCGGAGCUGCUGCACAAGGAGGAGGAGGAGGAGGAGGAGGAGGAGCAGGAAAUGAUGAUUACCAGAUGCAACUCGCACAAUAUUGGUAUGAUAUGGCAAAUUUCUGGAGUGAUUUAGGAGAAUGGUGGAGCAACUUAUCAGAAAGAGUGCGUCGAAUAUACUCUACUUAACUGCAUUACGUUGUGAAAUAAACAAGCACGGCUCCUAUGAUGAUUAUAUAUUUGAAGCAAAGUCUUCAAUGUUCCGUGAAAAGGCUUGAAUGUGGAGAGAAUUGCCUCAUGUAUUCCAACCUAAGAAGAUUGAACAAAUGAAAACUUUUCAUGAGCAAUUUUCCAUUUAGUAUGAUUUUUGGAGUUGUUUCUGUUCAUAAAUAUUUUGACUAUU
Long non-coding RNA from Uloborus diversus, 652 nucleotides. RefSeq lists it as uncharacterized. Lineage: Eukaryota; Metazoa; Arthropoda; Arachnida; Araneae; Uloboridae. The transcript is spliced from 4 exons. The record is from RefSeq and is a predicted model, not a curated record.